Molecule: ribosomal RNA, 712 nt
Filed under: uncultured bacterium
Lineage: Bacteria
Description: bacterial SSU rRNA
Rfam family: Bacterial small subunit ribosomal RNA
Source: RNAcentral
GGGUGAGUAACGCGUAUGCAACCUGCCCGUUUCAGCGGGAUAACCCGGAGAAAUCCGGCCUAAUACCGCAUGUGGCCGAGGGAAGGCAUCUUCUUUCGGCCAAAGGAGGCGACUCCGGAGACGGAUGGGCAUGCGUGACAUUAGCUUGUUGGCGGGGUAACGGCCCACCAAGGCGACGAUGUCUAGGGGUUCUGAGAGGAAGGUCCCCCACACUGGUACUGAGACACGGACCAGACUCCUACGGGAGGCAGCAGUGAGGAAUAUUGGUCAAUGGGCGAGAGCCUGAACCAGCCAAGUCGCGUGAAGGAUGACGGCCCUACGGGUUGUAAACUUCUUUUGUCAGGGAGCAAUUGGGUCCACGUGUGGGCUUAGCGAGAGUACCUGAAGAAAAAGCAUCGGCUAACUCCGUGCCAGCAGCCGCGGUAAUACGGAGGAUGCGAGCGUUAUCCGGAUUUAUUGGGUUUAAAGGGUGCGUAGGCGGAAUAUCAAGUCAGCGGUAAAAAUUCGGGGCUCAACCCCGUCGUGCCGUUGAAACUGAUGUUCUUGAGUGGGCGAGAAGUAUGCGGAAUGCGUGGUGUAGCGGUGAAAUGCAUAGAUAUCACGCAGAACUCCGAUUGCGAAGGCAGCAUACCGGCGCCCAACUGACGCUGAAGCACGAAAGCGUGGGUAUCGAACAGGAUUAGAUACCCUGGUAGUCCACGCAGUAAACGAU